This 439-nucleotide ribosomal RNA is filed under the name uncultured bacterium. Its description in RNAcentral is "partial 16S ribosomal RNA". It matches the Rfam family "Bacterial small subunit ribosomal RNA", at positions 339 to 795 of the family's 1533-position model. The record is from RNAcentral.
CUACGAGAGGCUGCAGUGAGGAAUAUUGCAUAAUGGGGGGAACCCUGAUGCAGCAACGCCGCGUGGAGGAUGACGCAUUUCGGUGUGUAAACUCCUUUUAUAUGUCAAGAAAAUGACGGUAGCAUAUGAAUAAGCACCGGCUAACUCCGUGCCAGCAGCCGCAGUAAUACGGAGGGUGCAAGCGUUACUCGGAAUCACUGGGCGUAAAGGACGCGUAGGCGGGUUGGAAAGUCAGGUGUGAAAUCCUACAGCUUAACUGUAGAACUGCACUUGAAACUUCUAAUCUAGAGUAUGGGAGGGGGAGAUGGAAUUAGUGGUGUAGGGGUAAAAUCCGUAGAUAUCACUAGGAAUACCUAAAGCGAAGGCGAUCUCCUGGAACAUUACUGACGCUAAGGCGUGAAAGCGUGGGGAGCAAACAGGAUUAGAUACCCGGGUAGUC